AGAGAUCAUGGCUCAGAUUGAACGCUGGCGGCAUGCCUUACACAUGCAAGUCGAACGGCAGCGCGGGGCAACCUGGCGGCGAGUGGCGAACGGGUGAGUAAUAUAUCGGAACGUACCCUGGAGUGGGGGAUAACGUAGCGAAAGUUACGCUAAUACCGCAUACGAUCUAAGGAUGAAAGUGGGGGAUUCGCAAGAACCUCAUGCUCCUGGAGCGGCCGAUAUCUGAUUAGCUAGUUGGUGGGGUAAAGGCCUACCAAGGCAUCGAUCAGUAGCUGGUCUGAGAGGACGACCAGCCACACUGGAACUGAGACACGGUCCAGACUCCUACGGGAGGCAGCAGUGGGGAAUUUUGGACAAUGGGCGAAAGCCUGAUCCAGCAAUGCCGCGUGAGUGAAGAAGGCCUUCGGGUUGUAAAGCUCUUUUGUCAGGGAAGAAACGGUGAGAGCUAAUAUCUCUUGCUAAUGACGGUACCUGAAGAAUAAGCACCGGCUAACUACGUGCCAGCAGCCGCGGUAAUACGUAGGGUGCAAGCGUUAAUCGGAAUUACUGGGCGUAAAGCGUGCGCAGGCGGUUUUGUAAGUCUGUCGUGAAAUCCCCGGGCUCAACCUGGGAAUUGCGAUGGAGACUGCAAGGCUAGAAUCUGGCAGAGGGGGGUAGAAUUCCACGUGUAGCAGUGAAAUGCGUAGAGAUGUGGAGGAACACCGAUGGCGAAGGCAGCCCCCUGGGUCAAGAUUGACGCUCAUGCACGAAAGCGUGGGGAGCAAAACGGGAUUAGAUACCCUGGUAGUCCACGCCCUAAACGAUGUCUAC
This 810-nucleotide ribosomal RNA is filed under the name uncultured Oxalobacteraceae bacterium. RNAcentral's name for it is "bacterial SSU rRNA". It matches the Rfam family "Bacterial small subunit ribosomal RNA", at positions 8 to 816 of the family's 1533-position model. Lineage: Bacteria; Pseudomonadati; Pseudomonadota; Betaproteobacteria; Burkholderiales; Oxalobacteraceae. The record is from RNAcentral.